RNAcentral lists this non-coding RNA (18 nucleotides) under Mus musculus (house mouse). The record is from RNAcentral. Lineage: Eukaryota; Metazoa; Chordata; Mammalia; Rodentia; Muridae.
UGGAAAGUAACUGACUGU